This 28-nucleotide small RNA is filed under the name Bombyx mori (domestic silkworm). RNAcentral describes it as "ovarian small RNA-15688". The record is from RNAcentral. Lineage: Eukaryota; Metazoa; Arthropoda; Insecta; Lepidoptera; Bombycidae.
GAGACGAUCGGUUGCGAAAAUCAGCGGC